RNAcentral lists this ribosomal RNA (425 nucleotides) under Lactobacillus sp. RNAcentral describes it as "bacterial SSU rRNA". It matches the Rfam family "Bacterial small subunit ribosomal RNA", at positions 9 to 409 of the family's 1533-position model. Lineage: Bacteria; Bacillati; Bacillota; Bacilli; Lactobacillales; Lactobacillaceae. The record is from RNAcentral.
GAGUUUGAUCUUGGCUCAGGACGAACGCUGGCGGCGUGCCUAAUACAUGCAAGUCGAGCGAGCAAUUUUGACGGAAUACUUCGGUAGGAAGUCAGAAGCGCGAGCGGCGGAUGGGUGAGUAACACGUGGGCAACCUGCCCUUUAGCUUGGGAUACCACUUGGAAACAGGUGCUAAUACCAAAUAAGAAGCGAGAGCGCAUGCUCAAGCUGAGAAAGGCGGCUUUGGAGCUGUCACUAAAGGAUGGGCCCGCGGUGCAUUAGCUAGUUGGUAAGGUAACGGCCUACCAAGGCGAUGAUGCAUAGCCGAGUUGAGAGACUGACCGGCCACAUUGGGACUGAGACACGGCCCAAACUCCUACGGGAGGCAGCAGUAGGGAAUCUUCCACAAUGGACGCAAGUCUGAUGGAGCAACGCCGCUGUAAUAC